GAUGAACGCUGGCGGCGUGCCUAAUACAUGCAAGUCGAGCGAACAGACGAGGAGCUUGCUCCUCUGACGUUAGCGGCGGACGGGUGAGUAACACGUGGAUAACCUACCUAUAAGACUGGGAUAACUUCGGGAAACCGGAGCUAAUACCGGAUAAUAUAUUGAACCGCAUGGUUCAAUAGUGAAAGACGGUUUUGCUGUCACUUAUAGAUGGAUCCGCGCCGCAUUAGCUAGUUGGUAAGGUAACGGCUUACCAAGGCAACGAUGCGUAGCCGACCUGAGAGGGUGAUCGGCCACACGGGAACUGAGACACGGUCCAGACUACUACGGGAGGCAGCAGUAGGGAAUCUUCCGCAAUGGGCGAAAGCCUGACGGAGCAACGCCGCGUGAGUGAUGAAGGUCUUCGGAUCGUAAAACUCUGUUAUUAGGGAAGAACAAAUGUGUAAGUAACUAUGCACGUCUUGACGGUACCUAAUCAGAAAGCCACGGCUAACUACGUG
RNAcentral lists this ribosomal RNA (497 nucleotides) under uncultured bacterium. RNAcentral's name for it is "partial 16S ribosomal RNA". It matches the Rfam family "Bacterial small subunit ribosomal RNA", at positions 28 to 507 of the family's 1533-position model. The record is from RNAcentral.